GAUGAAGAACGUAGCGAAAUGCGAUACGUAGUGUGAAUUGCAGAAUUCAGUGAAUCAUCGAAUCUUUGAACGCACAUUGCACCUCUCGGUAUUCCGGGAGGUAUGCCUGUUCGAGCGUCAUUUGUACCCUCAAGCUCUGCUUGGUGUUGGGUGUUUGUUCCGCCUCUGUGUGUGAACUCGCCUCAAAACAAUUGGCAGCCGGCGUACUUGUUUCGGAGCGCAGCACAUUUUACGAUCCAGAUCAACGUACAGCGGCAUCCAAGAAGCCUUAUUUAACGCUCUUGACCUCGGAUCAGGUAGGGAUACCCGCUGAACUUAAGCAUAUCAAAAGCGGAGGA
This 338-nucleotide unclassified non-coding RNA is filed under the name soil metagenome. RNAcentral describes it as "partial contains 5.8S ribosomal RNA, internal transcribed spacer 2, and large subunit ribosomal RNA". The stretch from base 1 to 120 matches the Rfam family "5.8S ribosomal RNA", at positions 35 to 154 of the family's 154-position model. The record is from RNAcentral.